Mytilus trossulus (common blue mussel) is the source of this 678-nucleotide long non-coding RNA. RefSeq lists it as uncharacterized. NCBI's taxonomy places the organism in Eukaryota, Metazoa, Mollusca, Bivalvia, Mytilida, Mytilidae. The transcript is spliced from 4 exons. The record is from RefSeq and is a predicted model, not a curated record.
GUCUUGUAUUACAUACUAGAUACCCGUAUGUAGAAAUGAAGUGUCGACAAUCGGCAAUGUUUAAAAAGGAAACGAAAAUGGAAAUUCUCUUUAACCAACAGGACUACUUUUAAAGAUACAGUAAUAUUUUGGAAAUCCCACAGGCAAAUGUCAGCUUAAAGAUCUACUGUCCAUUUUUAUUUGAUUCAAGUCCAGUCAAUUUAUUACUUAGUAAAGAUCCGUGUCCAGUCAAUGUGAUCCUUGUCCAGUCAAUGUGAUCCUUGUCCAGUCAAGUUACUAUUAUAGGUAAGUGAACAUUAUAUGUGAACUAUAUAGGAUCAUUUACUAUUGAAAUUUGUUUCCAAUGUAAAAUGUUCAAACUCUAUAAGGGGAGAUAAUCAACAUAUAGUUUUUACAUUCAAAAUACCAUAACACCAAUGUUUUUAUAGUAAACAAGACACAUGACAUCAUUACAGUGUUAUUUGCCUUCAAAAAUAGAUUGGUUGAACUUAAGCAUUGAACUUGUGCUAAAGAAAAAUAAAGUUAGAUAAAUGUCAAUGAGACAGCAACCCAACAAAGCAACAAUGGAGAUGUGUAAAGAUCAAGGUAUAGGAGAUGUGUAAAGGUCAAUAUAUAGGAGAUGUGUACAGGUCAAUCAGGUCAAUAUAUAGGACUAAGCAACAACAUUAAAUAUGGCAA